RNAcentral lists this small RNA (4209 nucleotides) under Rattus norvegicus (Norway rat). Its description in RNAcentral is "uncharacterized LOC103690087". The record is from RNAcentral. Lineage: Eukaryota; Metazoa; Chordata; Mammalia; Rodentia; Muridae.
GUUUUUUACCAGAUAAGCUUUUUAAAAAAUUAUGUUCAACAAUUAUCUUUUUAUUGUAGUUAAGUUUUUCAAAUUCUUGCUGUUUUCAAUAUCUCCUGGUUUCAUCAUCCCUACUGAGAAAUUACGUAUACAAUCUUAUAAUUAAUUGUUUGCUUUGGUCUUCUUUUAUUUUCCUGCUUUAUGAUAAAAUUUUCAUUAGCCUAAAUGUGUUAUUAAUUUUUCUUGUUUCUUAAAUAUUUGUUCAAUAUUAUAUUCACAACUUUAAGUUCAAAGGAUCAGUUUUCUGAACAGAUCUUCAUACACUAUAAAUUCCUUGUUGUAUGACCAUCUCUAAUAAUUUUAUUUUUAAUUUUUAGGUAAUGCCUGAUUAUAAUUUAAAUAAGGACGUUGACAAAAAUUAAUGAACCAUUUGCACAAAAAAUAUUUGAAUCAACAUUUAUUCACUCCUGGAAGAUAUUAAAUAUUUCAACAGAAUAUUCCAAUGGAUGGAACUUUUUCCAGCAUCUGGAUUAUUUUCCAGCUAAAGAGUUGGGAAUGUAAGGAAAGGAAAUGGCUAGACUAUUCAAGAUUCUACUGGCAGAUUAUUUGUGAUGGUUGGUCUCUUUUUGCCUCCUAGAACAUUCAAGAGUACUUCAAGAUGCAAAGGAAAGAAGAGUUAAGAAAAGAAGGCCUUUCAUAACAUAUUGUUCCACAGGGGCUCUGAGCCCCACCAGGACAAAGUUUUCACAGUUGCUAGAGUUAACAAGACACGAAACCUACUAGGAAAAGACCUGACUUCUAUUUGCCAUGAUGGAAAACUCCCCACAGUAAUUCUGGAAUGUUUUAUGUUACUAUCUGCCUUAUGGACAAGAUCCUGCUUCUUAAAUGAACCCUAAUCUCUUCAAUUCCAUCAGCAUGAAGAGAAACAAUUGUGCAUCAAAUCAUUGGCUAUACAAUAAGGAUAUGCUGUCUCUCAACAAAGAAAAUGGAACCAAAACUGAGGGUAUAUUGGCAAUAUCACUAAACAUAGCAUCAUGUCAAACAAUAAAGAAGUUGGAUUGUGAAAAAGAUGUAAACAUAAAAACAAUCCAUCUGUGCAUAUGGUAGCAUGUAUCUUAAAGGAAUUACUUCAAAUUAUCAAAGGAAAUUUGCUGACAUCUAGACUAUAUGAAGAAUGACUUGGGGUACAUGACCAGGUCAAUGAAGAAGAGAAAGUAGCCACUGUGCAGAGUCCUUAUUUCAAAUACCUCCCACCAGGACCAAAUGUGUAUGGUCUUGUCUAUUGAUAAGACAGAAAACCUACUUGAAAAAGAGCUGACAACAAUUUGUGAUGAUCGAAAUCUGCCCACAGAAAUUCUGGAUAUGCUGUUCUUCAUCCAAGAAAAGGGGCCCCAAAUUCAGGAUAUAUCCAUAAUUUCACACAACAUAGCAUCAUGAAGAAGUUGGAUUGUGAAGAAGAUGUAAACAUAAAAAAAUAAUCCAUCUGUGUAUAUGGUAGCAUGUAUCUUAAAGGUAAGGAAAGUCCUUGCAUCAUACACCCUCAGGAUUCUUCUCAAUCUAUUUGAGUAGUUUCCUUCAUUAUGCAUUCCCUUGAGUGGUAGUAGAUAACAUAUAAGAGAAAUCUGAUAAAAAAGCAAAAACAAAAACAAAAAGCUGUCAUAAUGAGCAGUAAUGUAACUAAGUAUCUUUCAUUUGAUUCUUCCACAAGUAUAUGGAGAGUCACUUCAUACAUGCAUAUGAGUUUCACCUGAUAUGCAUGCCUCCUCAGAUGCAUUUGUCUAAGAGUGUUCUUAAGGGUGUCACUCUCCUUUUUUUCUGAGAGGCAGGUUUCUCUUCCUAGGUAUAGAGCACGUGACUCCUUCAUGUAUAUCUUUGCUGUACAUACCCAGUAGAAUCUCUUGGUCUGCUUGUCCCUCUCACUCACAAAAUAUUGGUAUCCAAAUGAAGGUUCACAUGGCUAUGUAACACGUAUUCUUAAGUACUGGGCCAUUCCUUCAGCACCAUAAUUUUAUUGUUAUAUUUAAAAAUUAAAAUCAUUUCACUCCUCCCUAUUCCUUGCUCUAAUGUUGUUUCCCUUCAAUCUCCCACUUCUGAUAAAAUACAUUUUCUUUAACUGUUAUUUUGUAGAUACAAAUAAAUCCAUAAAUAUGUUCAAAUAACCUGAUGAGUCCAUUAUCCUUGUUAGUAUCUGUACUAUUUCCAAAGGAACCAACUGUGAUUGGCUUACAAAUUAGGGGGUUCAUUUUUGAGAAAGACCAAUUUCCUCACUCUUCAUAGUAUUUAUUUGCAUGUAGUUCCUUAUCUAAAAGUUUGACUUCAUGAGAUUUCCUCAUUUUGAUUUAGUGUUACUAACUUGGAUAAUGUUUUGUUUAGAACUUGCUUAAACAACCAGACUGUGGGACUAACAAAAGUGAAGCUUCUCCUGCAUUUCUCUGAGGCCCAAUCCCAAAGCAGAUAUCCUGAUCCUCUGGAAUUACUUCAAAUCACUUAAGAAAGUCUGCUGACAUCUCGACUAUAUGAAGAAUGACUUGGAGUACCAGACCAAGUCAAUGAAGAAGAGAAAGUAGCCACUGUGCAGAGUCUUUUAGAAAACUACUGCACUCACAUGUUACUCUUCUAAGACAACGUUUCAAAUUAUUAUAUUAAGUUGAGAGGAAUUCUUCUGUGAACCAGAUGACAGCUUAUGAUUUAUCUGUUGUGCCAAGUAUCCUAUAUCUGCCUAGUUCCCACAAUAAACGAUUAGCAAAUGAUAUUGCCAAAAAGAUUUCUCUUAUAAACUUUCCAAUUGAAAACUCCCUGAAAUUAUUUGAAGAAGACUCAGUUUUAGUUUAUUAUGAGACCUCAUUAUUUCACCCUUAUGGAGUGGACUCUGAUUCCCAGAAUAAUCUUUCUAAUCCAGAAGGCAUGCGUGCUAUAAAAGGAAAAGGGCAUGCAAGAGCUAAGUGAAUUCAACUACAACAAACGAUGACAUACCUUCUUUCAUAGAAUCAGAGAAACCUGAAAAAUACAUUUUUUUAUAAAUCAAUUAAUUACUUGUGAAUCUGAUACCCGCAAAGUCAAUGUAUACAUAGCCCCACCAGCACCAAACAAAAAGCAACUUGUUGGGAAUUAUCAAAUUCUGCCAGCACCAAUAAAGAAAAAAACCCUUCUUAGCAAGUCUCUCAUGGAAAUCUUUCUUCUCCAAUACUGGAUAUAUUAGCUAUCAUUGCUGAAAAGGGACAAAAGUCAUAUAAAAUACUAAGAACACUAUCAGUUGAAUCACACUGGUACACGAGGGAUAAAAUUGAUGCUGAAUAAGAAGAGGUGAAUUGGAGUCAAGAAUCAGUCCUUGUUAUAGUAUCUGCUUUAUAGGGGGAUUUCAUUCUAAAUAUAUAAAGAAACUUGCUUUCUACAGAUUUAUGUAAUUUAUUUGGUGUCUCUGAUCAAGAAAUUUGAUCAAAAGAUUCUGCUAUCCAAAGAUAAUGAUACAGUAAAUUCUUCGGGAACCAUACAAAGAUAGAAGAAAUGCAUUUUUAAAGUUUUCUACCACAGAUGCCACAACAAAACUUCAUCCUACUAAAACACCUUAUUCAUGUGUUAUUAAAGAUUAAAAUUUCUCCCAUGAAGACUUAGACUCUUAACAGUUUAUCUGUUCACAUAACCCCUAUAUUCCAUGGCAUUCUACUUCCAGCAACUCGUUAUUUGGGAAUGACCUUUCCAAAAAGAUUUCUAUUGAAGAAAUUCUAACUGAAAACUAGCUCUAGAUAUUUGGAGAUGACGAUCAUACAUUUUAUAAAGAUAUUCCAAAAAGGUCUGAUGACAUAAAAAUGUCUUCAGGUUCACUAAAUACUGUUGAUAGAGCAUGUGCUAUGAAAGAUGCCAUAAGUGACCCCCCUGAGAAAACCUUCUUUAAUGCUAAUGCUGAAAAAUUAAAGAUUCCAUUUGCUGCCCCUCAGAAGGAAGGUCCUACAGAGAGCAGGGCACAACAAACAGCUUCUAUAUGUUCCGUGUUUAACAGUGGAAUCAAUGGCAGAGGAUGACUGAAGAUGCUUACAGCUCAUUCUACUUCAAAGUUCCUUUCCACCUCCCAUUCAACAAUAGAAGAAUAUAUCAUUACAAGACACUGCAGCUUUUAUAUUUUACAUUAUUGUUACAAAGAGUUGUCACUGAUCAUUUUGACUUUAUGCUAUAUAUUACACAUUCUUUAUUAUUAUAAUGAAUGUUAUUAAACUAUAAUAUUGAUUAAACUCC